AAGCGAGAGAAAAACCUAUUCUUUCGGAACCUGAGUCUAUUCUUGUAGCUGAGUUUUUAUCAAAACCAAAAAUGGAGGCAUACCAACUUUUACCACUCCUAAAAAAGACAGAUUAUGCCCAUUUUUUGGAUACCCUUUCAUCAGCUCCUAAUACGGAACAUGUUACGGAUUCUGGAUUCCUAUUUCCCAACUCAUUCCUCCUGAAGCUUGCAAAACCUCAAAAUUGGGUUUCAACUCUGCACAUGGAGGUUUUAGUGGAGUUACUUUCUAGUAGGCUUGCAACAAGACUUGCCACACAGCGUGCUGCUUUUGUUGAACCAUGGUUUGCUAAC
This is a long non-coding RNA of Arabidopsis lyrata subsp. lyrata, 332 nucleotides long. RefSeq lists it as uncharacterized. The record is from RefSeq and is a predicted model, not a curated record. The transcript has 3 exons. NCBI's taxonomy places the organism in Eukaryota, Viridiplantae, Streptophyta, Magnoliopsida, Brassicales, Brassicaceae.